AUCCAGCUGACAAGUACCAAAUAGGACGAAACACGCUUCCUGGAU
Molecule: non-coding RNA, 45 nt
Filed under: Schistosoma margrebowiei
Lineage: Eukaryota; Metazoa; Platyhelminthes; Trematoda; Strigeidida; Schistosomatidae
Source: RNAcentral